This 316-nucleotide long non-coding RNA is filed under the name Homo sapiens (human). RNAcentral's name for it is "non-protein coding lnc-MSL2-4:1". Lineage: Eukaryota; Metazoa; Chordata; Mammalia; Primates; Hominidae. The record is from RNAcentral.
GGUGUUGAGCCUGCCCUCAGGUGCCAGGUGUUUUGGGGUAUGGGCCUUGCCAACUGGAGAGAAGGUCAUGCAUGCCAGCCAGGUUGAUGAUAAUAAAGACUCCAGAAAAAUUCAGUUUGUGGGUUGUCAGAAAGAGGUGAAUGUAAACUUUGCCACUGAUUUGAUGACAGAGCAACCUAUGAGUGAAGUAGAGAGUUGGAUAAUAUUGUGUAACUGGUUGGGGAGCUCUUGGCUACCCAAAAGUGUGUGUAAACAUAGACAAAGAAACAAAAACUGGGAUAUGUGGUUAUUGUGGACUAUAGUUGAAAAAACACCA